UACGUAGGGGGCGAGCGUUGUCCGGAUUUAUUGGGCGUAAAGCGCGUGUAGGUGGCCAAGUAGGUCCGCUGUGAAAACUUGAGGCUCAACCUCAAGCUGUCGGUGGAAACCCCUUGGCUAGAGUCCGGAAGAGGAGAGUGGAAUUCCUGGUGUAGCGGUGAAAUGCGCAGAUAUCAGGAAGAACACCAAUGGCGAAGGCAGCUCUCUGGGACGGUACUGACACUGAGACGCGAAAGCGUGGGGAGCGAACAGG
Molecule: ribosomal RNA, 253 nt
Filed under: uncultured bacterium
Lineage: Bacteria
Description: partial 16S ribosomal RNA
Rfam family: Bacterial small subunit ribosomal RNA
Source: RNAcentral